UACGGAGGAUGCGAGCGUUAUCCGGAUUUAUUGGGUUUAAAGGGUGCGUAGGCGGGCUGUUAAGUCAGCGGUAAAAGCCCGGGGCUCAACCCCGGCGAGCCGUUGAAACUGGCUGUCUUGAGAUGUCGAGAGGUAUGCGGAAUGCGCAGUGUAGCGGUGAAAUGCUUAGAUAUUGCGCAGAACUCCGAUUGCGAAGGCAGCAUACCGGCGCCCGACUGACGCUGAGGCACGAAAGCGUGGGGAUCGAACAGG
Molecule: ribosomal RNA, 252 nt
Filed under: uncultured bacterium
Lineage: Bacteria
Description: partial 16S ribosomal RNA
Rfam family: Bacterial small subunit ribosomal RNA
Source: RNAcentral